CACGUAGGGCGCAAGCGUUGUCCGGAAUUAUUGGGCGUAAAGAGCUCGUAGGCGGUCUGUUGCGUCCGCUGUGAAAACCCGGGGCUUAACCCCUGGCUUGCAGUGGAUACGGACAGACUAGAGGUAGGUAGGGGAGAAUGGAAUUCCCGGUGUAGCGGUGAAAUGCGUAGAUAUCGUAAGGAAGACCAGUGGCGAAGGCGGGUCUCUGGGCCGAAAUUGACGCUGAGGAGCGAAAGUGUGGGGAGCGAACAGG
This 253-nucleotide ribosomal RNA is filed under the name uncultured bacterium. RNAcentral's name for it is "partial 16S ribosomal RNA". It matches the Rfam family "Bacterial small subunit ribosomal RNA", at positions 524 to 776 of the family's 1533-position model. The record is from RNAcentral.